GCCUACGGGGGGCAGCAGUAGGGAAUUUUCGUCAAUGGGCGCAAGCCUGAACGAGCAAUGCCGCGUGAACGAGGAAGGUCUUCGGAUCGUAAAGUUCUGUUGAAGGGGAAAAAGAGCUGAGAGAGGAAAUGCUUUCUGAUUGAUAUUACCCUUCGAGGAAGUCACGGCUAACUACGUGCCAGCAGCCGCGGUAAUACGUAGGUGGCGAGCGUUAUCCGGAAUGAUUGGGCGUAAAGGGUGCGUAGGCGGCCUGCUAAGUCUGGAGUGAAAGGUACCGGCUCAACCGGUACAGGCUCUGGAAACUG
Molecule: ribosomal RNA, 305 nt
Filed under: uncultured bacterium
Lineage: Bacteria
Description: bacterial SSU rRNA
Rfam family: Bacterial small subunit ribosomal RNA
Source: RNAcentral